UAGGGAAUCUUCGGCAAUGGACGAAAGUCUGACCGAGCAACGCCGCGUGAGUUAAGAAGGUUUUCGGAUCGUAAAACUCUGUUGUUAGAGAAGAACAAGGACGUUAGUAACUGAACGUCCCCUGACGGUAUCUAACCAGAAAGCCACGGCUAACUACGUGCCAGCAGCCGCGGUAAUACGUAGGUGGCAAGCGUUGUCCGGAUUUAUUGGGCGUAAAGCGAGCGCAGGCGGUUUCUUAAGUCUGAUGUGAAAGCCCCCGGCUCAACCGGGGAGGGUCAUUGGAAACUGGGAGACUUGAGUGCAGAAGAGGAGAGUGGAAUUCCAUGUGUAGCGGUGAAAUGCGUAGAUAUAUGGAGGAACACCAGUGGCGAAGGCGGCUCUCUGGUCUGUAACUGACGCUGAGGCUCGAAAGCGUGGGGAGCAAACAGG
RNAcentral lists this ribosomal RNA (429 nucleotides) under bacterium. RNAcentral's name for it is "partial 16S ribosomal RNA". It matches the Rfam family "Bacterial small subunit ribosomal RNA", at positions 355 to 776 of the family's 1533-position model. RNAcentral also lists the same sequence under 1 other name. The record is from RNAcentral.